ACAAUUCCAGGCUCUUGCCAGUCUCAGGAUUUUUCUCGUGAAUGAACCAGGAAGGUCCAAGGACCCACCUGCAGCUGCAAGUCUUGGGAUAUGCGUGAGACCUCAGACAGCAGUCUGCCUGCUGGGUGGAGGUGGGGGGUCCAGGCCAGGAUGGGCUGACUGGCAAACAUUCCCAGGCAUGUGGGCUUAAAGCCAUCCCUCACUGAUCCCUGCUAGCAGAUGAAUAUAUCGGAAGGUGAUGAGUACGAAGGAGCUUGGCUGCCAGCCAGGCGGUGUCGGAAAAGGAUGGGAAUUAUGUUGUUGUGAACCUAAAGCUGCUCCAGGAAAGUCUAUCGAAAAGUUAAAAACAUUUAAAUAAACAAAUAAAAGGAUGAGAAUGUUGA
RNAcentral lists this long non-coding RNA (383 nucleotides) under Homo sapiens (human). RNAcentral describes it as "HSALNT0160719". The record is from RNAcentral. Lineage: Eukaryota; Metazoa; Chordata; Mammalia; Primates; Hominidae.